Molecule: ribosomal RNA, 239 nt
Filed under: uncultured bacterium
Lineage: Bacteria
Description: partial 16S ribosomal RNA
Rfam family: Bacterial small subunit ribosomal RNA
Source: RNAcentral
UAGUCCACGCCGUAAACGAUGAGCACUAGGUGUCGGCCAAUAAAGGUCGGUGCCGCAGUUAACGCAUUAAGUGCUCCGCCUGGGGAGUACGCACGCAAGUGUAAAACUCAAAGGAAUUGACGGGGACCCGCACAAGCAGCGGAGCAUGUGGUUUAAUUCGAAGCAACGCGAAGAACCUUACCAGAGCUUGACAUCCCUCUGACAGAUCCUUAAUCGGAUUUUCUUCGGACAGAGGAGAC